CCUACGGGUGGCAGCAGUCGAGAAUCUUCGGCAAUGGGCGCAAGCCUGACCGAGCGACGCCGCGUGCGGGAUGAAGGCCUUCGGGUUGUAAACCGCUGUCGAGGGGAAUGAAGUGCAGGUGGGUUCUCCCAUCUGUUUGACAGAUCCCUGGAGGAAGCAUGGGCUAAGUUCGUGCCAGCAGCCGCGGUAAGACGAACCAUGCAAACGUUUGUCGGAUAAACUUGGGUUAAAGGGUGUGUUAGUGGUCUUGGAAAGCCCUCAGCCCAACUGAGGAAUUGCGCUUGAUACUGCAUGACUAGAGAAUGAUAGAGGUGGGUGGAACUGAUGGUGGAGCGGUGAAAUGCGUUGAUAUCAUCAGGAACACCAGUGGCGAAGGCGACCCACUGGGUCAUUUCUGACGCUGAGGUACGAAAGCUAGGGUAGCGAACGGGAUUAGAUACCCGAGUAGUC
RNAcentral lists this ribosomal RNA (450 nucleotides) under uncultured bacterium. RNAcentral's name for it is "partial 16S ribosomal RNA". It matches the Rfam family "Bacterial small subunit ribosomal RNA", at positions 338 to 795 of the family's 1533-position model. The record is from RNAcentral.